This 253-nucleotide ribosomal RNA is filed under the name uncultured bacterium. RNAcentral's name for it is "partial 16S ribosomal RNA". It matches the Rfam family "Bacterial small subunit ribosomal RNA", at positions 524 to 776 of the family's 1533-position model. The record is from RNAcentral.
UACAGAGGGGGCAAGCGUUGUUCGGAAUUACUGGGCGUAAAGGGCGCGUAGGGGGCCUGUUAAGUCGAACGUGAAAUCCCUGGGCUCAACCCAGGAACUGCGUCCGAUACUGGCAGGCUUGAAUCCGGGAGAGGGAUGCGGAAUUCCAGGUGUAGCGGUGAAAUGCGUAGAUAUCUGGAGGAACACCGGUGGCGAAGGCGGCAUCCUGGACCGGCAUUGACGCUGAGGCGCGAAAGCCAGGGGAGCAAACGGG